CAGCACGGACUUCGGUCUGGUGGCGAGUGGCGAACGGGUGAGUAAUACAUCGGAACGUGCCCAGUUGUGGGGGAUAACUACUCGAAAGAGUAGCUAAUACCGCAUGAGAACUGAGGUUGAAAGCAGGGGAUCGUAAGACCUUGCGCAACUGGAGCGGCCGAUGGCAGAUUAGGUAGUUGGUGGGAUAAAAGCUUACCAAGCCGACGAUCUGUAGCUGGUCUGAGAGGACGACCAGCCACACUGGGACUGAGACACGGCCCAGACUCC
RNAcentral lists this ribosomal RNA (267 nucleotides) under unidentified marine bacterioplankton. RNAcentral's name for it is "partial 16S ribosomal RNA". It matches the Rfam family "Bacterial small subunit ribosomal RNA", at positions 70 to 339 of the family's 1533-position model. The record is from RNAcentral.